CACGUAGGGGGCGAGCGUUGUCCGGAAUUACUGGGCGUAAAGGGCGCGCAGGCUGUUAUGCGAGUCUGCUGUGAAAUGUACCGGCUCAACCGGUGCCUUGCGGCGGAUACUGCAUAGCUGGAGUACUGGAGAGGGAAGUGGAAUUCCCGGUGUAGCGGUGAAAUGCGUAGAUAUCAGGAGGAACACCGGCGGCGAAGGCGGCUUGCUGGACGGCAACUGACGUUGAGGCUCGAAAGCGUGGGGAGCAAACAGGAUUAGAUACCCG
Molecule: ribosomal RNA, 265 nt
Filed under: uncultured prokaryote
Description: partial 16S ribosomal RNA
Rfam family: Bacterial small subunit ribosomal RNA
Source: RNAcentral